This 253-nucleotide ribosomal RNA is filed under the name uncultured bacterium. RNAcentral describes it as "partial 16S ribosomal RNA". It matches the Rfam family "Bacterial small subunit ribosomal RNA", at positions 524 to 776 of the family's 1533-position model. The record is from RNAcentral.
UACAGAGGUCUCAAGCGUUGUUCGGAUUCAUUGGGCGUAAAGGGUGCGUAGGCGGCGCGGUAAGUCGGGUGUGAAAUCUCGGAGCUUAACUCCGAAACUGCAUUCGAUACUGCCGUGCUUGAGGACUGGAGAGGAGACUGGAAUUUACGGUGUAGCGGUGAAAUGCGUAGAUAUCGUAAGGAAGACCAGUGGCGAAGGCGGGUCUCUGGACAGUUCCUGACACUGAGGAGCGAAAGCGUGGGGAGCGAACAGG